Molecule: ribosomal RNA, 305 nt
Filed under: uncultured bacterium
Lineage: Bacteria
Description: bacterial SSU rRNA
Rfam family: Bacterial small subunit ribosomal RNA
Source: RNAcentral
ACCUACGGGGGGCAGCAGUGGGGAAUAUUGCACAAUGGGGGAAACCCUGAUGCAGCGACGCCGCGUGAGUGAAGAAGUGCCCCGGCACGUAAAGCUCUAUCAGCAGGGAAGAAAAUGACGGUACCUGACCAAGAAGCCCCGGCUAACUACGUGCCAGCAGCCGCGGUAAUACGUAGGGAGCGAACGCUGUCCGGAAUUACUGGGUGUAAAGGGAGCGUAGGCGGGGAUGCAAGUUGGGUGUCAAAACUACCGGCUCAACUGGUAGUCGCACUCAAAACUGCAGCUCUUGAGUGAAGUAGAGGCAG